Molecule: ribosomal RNA, 796 nt
Filed under: uncultured bacterium
Lineage: Bacteria
Description: bacterial SSU rRNA
Rfam family: Bacterial small subunit ribosomal RNA
Source: RNAcentral
ACGGUAACAGGAAACAGCUUGCUGUUUCGCUGACGAGUGGCGGACGGGUGAGUAAUGUCUGGGAAACUGCCUGAUGGAGGGGGAUAACUACCGGAAACGGUAGCUAAUACCGCAUAACGUCGCAAGACCAAAGAGGGGGACCCUCGGGCCUCUUGCCAUCGGAUGUGCCCAGAUGGGAUUAGCUUGUUGGUGGGGUAACGGCUCACCAAGGCGACGAUCCCUAGCUGGUCUGAGAGGAUGACCAGCCACACUGGAACUGAGACACGGUCCAGACUCCUACGGGAGGCAGCAGUGGGGAAUAUUGCACAAUGGGCGCAAGCCUGAUGCAGCCAUGCCGCGUGUAUGAAGAAGGCCUUCGGGUUGUAAAGUACUUUCAGCGGGGAGGAAGGGAGUAAAGUUAAUACCUUUGCUCAUUGACGUUACCCGCAGAAGAAGCACCGGCUAACUCCGUGCCAGCAGCCGCGGUAAUACGGAGGGUGCAAGCGUUAAUCGGAAUUACUGGGCGUAAAGCGCACGCAGGCGGUUUGUUAAGUCAGAUGUGAAAUCCCCGGGCUCAACCUGGGAACUGCAUCUGAUACUGGCAAGCUUGAGUCUCGUAGAGGGGGGUAGAAUUCCAGGUGUAGCGGUGAAAUGCGUAGAGAUCUGGAGGAAUACCGGUGGCGAAGCGGCCCCUGGACGAAGACUGACGCUCAGUGCGAAAGCGUGGGGAGCAAACAAGAUUAGAUACCCUGGUAGUCCACGCCGUAAACCAUGUCGACUUGGAAGUUGUGCCCUUGAGGCGUGGCUUCCCGAGCUA